AAAAAAAAAAAAAAUAAUAAAAGAUGGACGAUUAUCAUAAAAUUGAUAGGAUUCGCUAUCUGAUAGCAGCUGAGGCUUUUGCCAAAUAUCUCUUUGCAGGUACAUGCGGGGAGGCAUCUUCUGAUUUUCUCCAACUGGGGAAGCAAGGAUCCACAAGUGAGGCCUAUACUGGAUAAAACCGCCUCGAAACUAUACUGGGUAUAUUAAUUAUACAGGGAAACGUCCAUUCUCAAUGAAGGAAUCAGUUGCCACAUAUAACAACUGCUUGGUGCUAAGCUGGAGAAACAAACAAUUCAAUCUCCACAAUCUCCAUGGUAAAAGUUAUCGACAAAGAGAGCACAAAAUGGAAGAAGCAUAAGAUAGAGAAAGCAACAUGAGCCUCAUGGCACUUUGAGAUUGCCCAAGUCCGGCCCGCCCUUCGUUUCUUGAGAUUUUCAUCGUCUCUCUCUACAUCCCCACGCUAGUUGCCAAUAUGUGCCAUACCCACUCAAACAAUAGCCAUUUUUCUCCGGGUGAAACGAGGAGUGCAUAGAGUUGAGCUUCUCUUCUUCCCAUCUUCAGCUGCAGUCUUGGGAUCUCCUUACUAGUUUAUGCUACAACAUUAGAAUCUGAGAGUCCAGUUAAUGCCAAAUAUGUCUUAUCAGACCAGUUUCUCCCUUACUCAGUUCAUGAACAGAACCAUUGAUGCCACAGCCUGUAAACCGGGUGCUAUCUUCAGGUAUGGGAUCACUAAACGUCUUAUUUUCUGUACAACAGCGCCAGCUAGGCCUGGCCACCUGUCCAGGCUGAUUCUAGGCCGGAACUAGUGAUUCAGCUCAUGGAGAGAGAGUGAACUGAAACUGGACUGAAUUAGUCUGAGAAAC
This 863-nucleotide unclassified non-coding RNA is filed under the name Hevea brasiliensis (rubber tree). The record is from RNAcentral. Lineage: Eukaryota; Viridiplantae; Streptophyta; Magnoliopsida; Malpighiales; Euphorbiaceae.